UGCGUAGGCGGGCUAAUAAGUCAGUGGUGAAAUCUCUCGGCUUAACCGGGAAACUGCCAUUGAUACUGUUAGUCUUGAGUUCGGUUGAGGUAGGCGGAAUGUGUAAUGUAGCGGUGAAAUGCUUAGAUAUUACACAGAACACCAAUUGCGUAGGCAGCUUACUAGACCGACACUGACGCUGAGGCACGAAAGCGUGUGGAGCGAACAGGAUUAGAUACCCUGGUAGUCC
RNAcentral lists this ribosomal RNA (229 nucleotides) under uncultured bacterium. RNAcentral's name for it is "partial 16S ribosomal RNA". It matches the Rfam family "Bacterial small subunit ribosomal RNA", at positions 568 to 796 of the family's 1533-position model. The record is from RNAcentral.